AGACGUCUACAUUAGAUACCCGUGUAGUCCCAGCCGUAAACGAUACUCGCUAGGUGUCGGCCACGGUGCGACCGUUGUCGGUGCCGUAGGGAAGCCGUGAAGCGAGCCACCUGGGAAGUACGGCCGCAAGGCUGAAACUUAAAGGAAUUGGCGGGGAGCACAACAACGGGUGGAGCUUGCGGUUUAAUUGGAUUCAACGCCGGAAAUCUUACCGGGACCGACAGCAACAUGAAGGCCAAGCUGAAGACUUUGCCGGAUUAGCUG
Molecule: ribosomal RNA, 264 nt
Filed under: uncultured archaeon
Lineage: Archaea
Description: partial 16S ribosomal RNA
Rfam family: Archaeal small subunit ribosomal RNA
Source: RNAcentral